GAUGAACGCUGGCGGCGUGCCUAAUACAUGCAAGUCGAGCGAACGGACGAGAAGCUUGCUUUUCUGAUGUUAGCGGCGGACGGGUGAGUAACACGUGGAUAACCUACCUAUAAGACUGGGAUAACUUCGGGAAACCGGAGCUAAUACCGGAUAAUAUUUUGAACCGCAUGGUUCAAAAGUGAAAGACGGUCUUGCUGUCACUUAUAGAUGGAUCCGCGCUGCAUUAGCUAGUUGGUAAGGUAACGGCUUACCAAGGCAACGAUGCAUAGCCGACCUGAGAGGGUGAUCGGCCACACUGGAACUGAGACACGGUCCAGACUCCUACGGGAGGCAGCAGUAGGGAAUCUUCCGCAAUGGGCGAAAGCCUGACGGAGCAACGCCGCGUGAGUGAUGAAGGUCUUCGGAUCGUAAAACUCUGUUAUUAGGGAAGAACAUAUGUGCAAGUAACUGUGCACAUCUUGACAGUACCUAAUCAGAAAGCCACGGCUAACUACGUG
Molecule: ribosomal RNA, 497 nt
Filed under: uncultured bacterium
Lineage: Bacteria
Description: partial 16S ribosomal RNA
Rfam family: Bacterial small subunit ribosomal RNA
Source: RNAcentral